CCAGAGGGGGUGCCGCCAGCGGAUGCUGGAGUAGCCCCCGAGCUGACAGCCCAAGCUCCGUCGGCUACCAUGCUGCCGGUCCCUGACCAGGCAGUCCUGGGUUUGCCUGUCGGAGGGGCUGGUAUUGCGAAGGAGGUAUCGCCAGUAGUUGCUACUGGUUCUUUGUUAUCCAAUGUGAUUGCUAGUGGUGAGUUUUCUUCCCAACUAUUUUUUGUUAGUCCGAGUUUGCUGUAGUCUUGACCCUGUUGUUUCUAGGUCUUGGCGAGAAGACAGCGCCAGCAGCUGCUCUCGUGGCGCCGAUUACUCGACCACCUAUCGCCGAGAAG
RNAcentral lists this long non-coding RNA (326 nucleotides) under Setaria viridis. RNAcentral's name for it is "long non-coding RNA (SVIR_LNC000379)". The record is from RNAcentral. Lineage: Eukaryota; Viridiplantae; Streptophyta; Magnoliopsida; Poales; Poaceae.